This is a long non-coding RNA of Oncorhynchus keta (chum salmon), 713 nucleotides long. RefSeq lists it as uncharacterized. The record is from RefSeq and is a predicted model, not a curated record. The transcript is spliced from 8 exons. NCBI's taxonomy places the organism in Eukaryota, Metazoa, Chordata, Actinopteri, Salmoniformes, Salmonidae.
UUAGGAAUAUAGAGAGGAGAGUUACAGUAUCUACUAGGAAUAUAGAGAGGAGAGUUACAGUAUCUACUAGGAAUAUAGAGAGGAGAGUUACAGUAUCUACUAGGAAUAUAGAGAGGAGAGUUACAGUAUCUACUAGGAAUAUAGAGAGGAGAGUUACAGUAUCUACUAGGAAUAUAGAGAGGAGAGUUACAGUAUCUACUAGGAAUAUAGAGAGGAGAGGUACAGUAUCUACUAGGAAUAUAGAGAGGAGAGUUACAGUAUCUACUAGGAAUAUAGAGAGGAGAGGUACAGUAUCUACUAGGAAUAUAGAGAGGAGAGGUACAGUAUCUACUAGGAAUAUAGAGAGGAGAGUUACAGUAUCUACUAGGAAUAUAGAGAGGAGAGGAGAGUUAUAGUAUCUACUAGGAAUAUAGAGAGGAGAGUUACAGUAUCUACUAGGAAUAUAGAGAGGAGAGUUACAGUAUCUACUAGGAAUAUAGAGAGGAGAGUUACAGUAUCUACUAGGAAUAUAGAGAGGAGAGUUACAGUAUCUACUAGGAAUAUAGAGAGGAGAGGUACAGUAUCUACUAGGAAUAUAGAGAGGAGAGGUACAGUAUCUACUAGGAAUAUAGAGAGGAGAGUUACAGUAUCUACUAGGAAUAUAGAGAGGAGAGUUACAGUAUCUACUAGGAAUAUAGAGAGGAGAGGUACAGUAUCUACUAGGAAUAUAGAGA